AAUCAACGCUGGCGGCGUGCCUAACACAUGCAAGUCGAGCGCGAAAGGGGGGCAACCCCGAGUAGAGCGGCGAACGGGUGAGUAACGCGUGGGUGAUUUGCCUCCGAGUGGGGAACAACACCGGGAAACUGGUGCUAAUACCGCAUGACAUCCUCGGGUCGUACUGGGGAUCAAAGCUGGGGACCGCAAGGCCUAGCGCUUGGAGAGAAGCCCGCGUCCGAUUAGCUAGUUGGUGGGGUAAGGCCUACCAAGGCGACGAUCGGUAGCCGGCCUGAGAGGGCGGACGGCCACACUGGGACUGAGACACGGCCCAGACUCCUACGGGAGGCAGCAGUGGGGAAUAUUGGACAAUGGGCGCAAGCCUGAUCCAGCGAUGCCGCGUGUGUGAAGAAGGCCUGCGGG
This 402-nucleotide ribosomal RNA is filed under the name uncultured bacterium. RNAcentral's name for it is "bacterial SSU rRNA". It matches the Rfam family "Bacterial small subunit ribosomal RNA", at positions 28 to 422 of the family's 1533-position model. The record is from RNAcentral.